UCGAGCGGUAGCACAGGAGAGCUUGCUCUCUGGGUGACGAGCGGCGGACGGGUGAGUAAUGUCUGGGAAACUGCCUGAUGGAGGGGGAUAACUACUGGAAACGGUAGCUAAUACCGCAUAACGUCUUCGGACCAAAGUGGGGGACCUUCGGGCCUCACGCCAUCAGAUGUGCCCAGAUGGGAUUAGCUAGUAGGUGGGGUAAUGGCUCACCUAGGCGACGAUCCCUAGCUGGUCUGAGAGGAUGACCAGCCACACUGGAACUGAGACACGGUCCAGACUCCUACGGGAGGCAGCAGUGGGGAAUAUUGCACAAUGGGCGCAAGCCUGAUGCAGCCAUGCCGCGUGUGUGAAGAAGGCCUUCGGGUUGUAAAGCACUUUCAGCGAGGAGGAAGGGUGGUGUGUUAAUAGCGCAUCACAUUGACGUUACUCGCAGAAGAAGCACCGGCUAACUCCGUGCCAGCAGCCGCGGUAAUACGGAGGGUGCAAGCGUUAAUCGGAAUUACUGGGCGUAAAGCGCACGCAGGCGGUUUGUUAAGUCAGAUGUGAAAUCCCCGCGCUUAACGUGGGAACUGCAUUUGAAACUGGCAAGCUAGAGUCUUGUAGAGGGGGGUAGAAUUCCAGGUGUAGCGGUGAAAUGCGUAGAGAUCUGGA
RNAcentral lists this ribosomal RNA (651 nucleotides) under uncultured bacterium. Its description in RNAcentral is "bacterial SSU rRNA". It matches the Rfam family "Bacterial small subunit ribosomal RNA", at positions 62 to 702 of the family's 1533-position model. The record is from RNAcentral.